Molecule: long non-coding RNA, 893 nt
Filed under: Bos indicus x Bos taurus (hybrid cattle)
Lineage: Eukaryota; Metazoa; Chordata; Mammalia; Artiodactyla; Bovidae
Description: lncRNA (ENSBIXG00000029685.1)
Source: RNAcentral
CUGGAAGGGCAGUCCUCUCUCUAGGAUGCAAUGGCUGAAGGGAAGAUGGCCAGGAUGAUCACGUGGGUUAUCCCCAGUGAUGGAGUGGGUACCACUUUAUGAGGGUCCGUGGGCGUCUUGGUAAGGAGCUUGAAUUAUAUUCUAAGUCAGGGGACAGGUCUGCUGUGGAAAUGAGACGAAUGCCUUUAUCCAUAGCCCCGUUGAUCCUGUAGAUUUAUCUCAGAUAUCUCUGCUGUGUUCACAAACGUUGUGGAGAAAGCAGAAUCAAUAAAGGACAGAAGGAAUAAAGAGAGAGCUGUUCAGACCAGGGAAUUACGGCGUUGUGAUUCACUUGGAAGACCGGCAUAAAAAUGCGCAGCGGAAUCUAUCAGUUGCAGUGCCAUCAAGGACAGCGGUGAAGGAGAUAAGGUGAUGGACGGAGUGUGAGGUUUUCAUCUUAAACCUGAUGAAGGAAACUAAGAUGGGGACUGAGAAUGCUGUCCCCAAAUGGAUGAACCUGUUGACUAGCCGAUCAGUAAACUGUAAAUGCUGCUGUAAAAUAAAGAGUGUUUGGGCGAUAAAUCAGACAGGAAGAAUUCUCGGUUUCCCCGGGGAGCAUUUUUGAAGACUUUCUAGGAAAGUCCCAAUACAAAGGAACAACUCCACUUCAAAGUGUCCCGUGAAAAGCUACAUCCCAGGAGAACCUGCCUUCCAAAAAGCUCACCCCUCCUCCCGCAGUGGUACCCACUGCCAGGCAGCCAGGACUGUUAAUACAUGCAGUGAUGGGCACAUCCUGAAUAUUCCUGAAGAUUCAUUGGAAGGACUGAUGCUGAAGCUUCAAUACUCUGGCCACCUGAUGCCAAGAGCUGACUCAUUGGAAGAGACUCUGAUGCUGAGAAAGAUUGCGAACAGGA